RNAcentral lists this ribosomal RNA (305 nucleotides) under uncultured bacterium. RNAcentral describes it as "bacterial SSU rRNA". It matches the Rfam family "Bacterial small subunit ribosomal RNA", at positions 337 to 640 of the family's 1533-position model. The record is from RNAcentral.
CCCUACGGGGCGCAGCAGUGAGGAAUAUUGGUCAAUGGUCGGGAGACUGAACCAGCCAAGCCGCGUGAGGGAGGAAGGUACAGAGUAUCGUAAACCUCUUUUGUCAGGGAACAAAGACUGGGACGCGUCCCCGGAUGAGUGUACCUGAAGAAAAAGCAUCGGCUAACUCCGUGCCAGCAGCCGCGGUAAUACGGAGGAUGCGAGCGUUAUCCGGAUUUAUUGGGUUUAAAGGGUGCGCAGGCGGAGGUGCAAGUCAGCGGUCAAAUUGCGGGGCUCAACCCCGUACUGCCGUUGAAACUGCAUCC